Molecule: long non-coding RNA, 1290 nt
Organism: Poecile atricapillus (Black-capped chickadee)
Lineage: Eukaryota; Metazoa; Chordata; Aves; Passeriformes; Paridae
Exons: 3
Source: RefSeq, a predicted model, not a curated record
UCUGGGACUGGGGAGAUGAGCACUGCUUGGGAUGGUGGGGCACUGUAAGCAAUUGCAGCAGUGACUGCCAGAUCAGGACCUUUUUGUUUUGGAUUCAGCUGGUGGCUGUGCCUGCCCAUGGGAGCAUUUUGAAAUGAACCUCCCAAACGCCCAGCCCUGACACACAUGCACUUUGGUUUGCAUCCCAGUGUGUUUUCAAACAGUGCACAUGUUUCUCUCACAUCCCACCAAACCAGAUGUACUGUGCAGCAGGGUUGGAUCAAAGCUAGUUGAGCAAAUGUCCAAAAUGUCAAUGUAGAUGUGAUUUCUGGACAUUGCAUGUUUCCCUCUGCAGUUCCUCUCCUCUGUAGCUGUUGUUAGACAAAAGAGGGCCCUGCUUCAUAGUCAGAGCAUUGUGAAAUUGCUUCACUAAUUAAAGAUGGGCAUGUGUGAGAGUAUCCUAAAAGGAGGAGCUAAACUGAACAUAGAAGUGAUUUUUUGAUGUUCUCCCAUUUCCACUGGAAGGUUUGUCUCAGCACUGUAUCUUACUAUCUCUGGACAAGUUACACUUUGUUAAAAUGUUUGUCAGCCAUGUGUUCAAGGCCGAGUUUCUUUCUGAAUCUUCUUCAACGCACGGAAAGAUGUGGCUGUGCACGAGUGGGAAGCCCAGGCAGUCACUUGUCUGUGCACAUGCACAAAGAUUUGCAGCUCUCUGUCAUGUUUUCUCUUUUUCUUGAUUGCUUCAAUUCACCUAAGUGCUUAAUUUUCUGCACCUUGUCUGCUGCUUUAAUCUCUUUGAUCUCCUUGAGUUUCCUUGCCAGGACUGUGCCAUGGAAUCCAUAUUGUCUGUUCAGUCACCUGCUUUCUAGAGUAAGAAACCAUUGACAUUAGAGGGUGAAAUCCAGUGGGGGAUUUCUACAGAGUAUGGUCAAAAACUGGGCCACAAAGCCCAUGUUGUGUGAGGGAGCAUGGCUGACCAAGAAGGAAGAGGAAGAAGCAUCUGCAGCUGAAUUUUGUCUCUUCUGGCUAGAACUCUUGUGAAAAUGAAGCGAGUCUGAGACCAAGACUUUCAUCUGCCUGAGAGAGGUACCACAGUUCUUAUUCUCUAGGGAUGUUUUUCCACCAGUGUGAUCUAAAAUCUUCAUGGGACUAUACUCUGCUGAAGAUGGGCCACUGUGCAAAAAAACAAAUGUAUGAUAUCUGAAUCCAGAAGGAUCCUGUUUUUUUAGCCUAUUUAAUGGGGCUGUGGCUGAACAGUACUGGAUUCUUUUAUUUAUUUCCACUGUCUGUGGCUGUAUUUCAUGUAAUGAC